UCCACUUACAUGUGAAGCAUAUACUUACAAAACUCAUAGUUAUUGCAAGAUUCUACUAAAAUUUCUUUUUUCAGAAGUACUUCACAUUUUAUUGAAGUUUAUACAAACUGACUUGAAGUACCAUGAAGCUAUACCCCUUUCUAACCCUUAUUUCCAUUUUUCUUUUCUAACUGACAUAGCAUAUAUACAACAUGUAUUACAUAAGCGAUUAGAAAGUGAAAAAUUUGAGUAAAAUACAAAUUUGAAUGUAUGCCCUUGUAGAGAGCAGAAUAGCAUAUGAACUUUACAUUGAUUUUAACUUUCUCAUCACGAAACGCCAUUUCAGACAUUAGCUCAUAAACAAUAGGAUUGUGCUCUAUCC
RNAcentral lists this long non-coding RNA (361 nucleotides) under Medicago truncatula (barrel medic). RNAcentral's name for it is "long non-coding RNA (MTRU_LNC000315)". Lineage: Eukaryota; Viridiplantae; Streptophyta; Magnoliopsida; Fabales; Fabaceae. The record is from RNAcentral.